This 103-nucleotide small nuclear RNA is filed under the name Triticum urartu. The record is from RNAcentral. Lineage: Eukaryota; Viridiplantae; Streptophyta; Magnoliopsida; Poales; Poaceae.
GUCCCUUUGGGGACAUCCGAUAAAAUUGGAAUGAUACAGAGAAGAUUAGCAUGGCCCCUGCGGAAGGAUGACACGCACAAAUUGAAAAAAAAAUGCAGUAUAU